This 1376-nucleotide long non-coding RNA is filed under the name Danio rerio (zebrafish). RNAcentral describes it as "si:dkey-207j16.5 (ENSDARG00000094597.2)". The record is from RNAcentral. Lineage: Eukaryota; Metazoa; Chordata; Actinopteri; Cypriniformes; Danionidae.
UUUGGCUUCACAGGUUAAAGGUUUGGAAAUAAGGUGUGUUGGAAAAUGAGGGUGUUAAUGUUGAGUGCUGCUGAAUUAUCAAUCUUAAAUACACCUGGUCAAUCUACUUGCGUCCCUCAGCUUUGUUCUGUGUCCAACCCUUUCGUGUUCCACAAGUUGAUGAUGGAAAGUGAGGGAUAUCAGUGAGUUCUAAUGUGACUCCUAAUGUUGUCAGUUUCUCAGGUUUGUUAAAGUGAGGGUUGAUGUUGGAAAGUAAGGGAUAAUUAAGUUUGGAAAGGUGAUUAUUUGGGUGCAGCUGUAUCAUUUUUGCUUCAACCUUGUGCAAUAGAUCUAAACUGCAGUACAUGUUGGAGGUUUGGAAAGUGAGGAUGAGUGAACAUUUUGAGUACUGCACUGAGUGAGUUUGCCUUAAACCUCGAUUAAAUGCACCUGGUCCAGCUAAUCAAGUCCCUUUAAUCUCAGGCUUAAUUACAGGGUAUAUUUGCAGAUCUCUCCAUCUCCAACAUAACCAGCAUGGCAUGUGCAGUUCCGUUGCAGGGGUCCUGUCAUAGUACAAAUGGCUGCCCUAUGACAUCCUCCGUUUUUCUGACAAAAUUUAUGCAGUUCAAUGUGAAUACAAUGUUUGUUCGAUAUAAUCCAAUUUUUUUUUACUUUAACUUCUAAGUAAAACUACAUGUUCUUAAAGCAUAAACUGUUAAAUAUGGUAAUAUUUUAAGCAGAAGCAUGUACCUCCUUACAAAGAUUGAUAAGUUCACAAUUCUUUCCAUCCUUAUAAAAUCCCUCCUUGCAGUGGCAUGCUGUCUGAAGUAGAGAAAUUCUAAUUAGUGAUUUAUAAGGGGUCAAACUCAAUUCAUGGAGAACUAUAGCUCAGCACAGUUUAGUUCCAACCGUAAUCUCAUCUGAUCAAACCAAUUUAAGCUUGUCUAAUACCUGUAGUGUAAAAGCUGGGCAAAAACUGAACUGCAGAGCUGUAGCCCUCUAGGUAUUGUAAUUUGACAUCCAUUGUAUUUUCAUUGUUAGUAACCUGUCUCCAUUUAAGCAUUUGUUUUAGCUAUAACUGAAUUUUGAAGUUACAGCAAUGUUUUAGUAAGUAUUUUGUCUUGAAUUAUUUUCAAAUGCUAUGUGUGUUCUUUAACUCUGCAGGAAGGCAAAGUUGCAUGAAUAGGGAUAAACACCACUGCUGUACAUAGUUCAACUGCAACCCUGUUUGAACACUACUAAACUUGAACAGGAUUUGGAGUAUUUAUAUAAUUAUAGACUGGUGUGUUUGAUCAAGGUUGUAGUUGAAUUUUGGACGAGGGUAAAUCUUUAAGCAGCUUUAACACUAUCUACAUUGUAAAAGCACUAAAUAAACUGAAGUGGCAUUUUGAACUAUA